This 1461-nucleotide ribosomal RNA is filed under the name Dendrolimus punctatus (masson pine moth). RNAcentral's name for it is "16S ribosomal RNA". Lineage: Eukaryota; Metazoa; Arthropoda; Insecta; Lepidoptera; Lasiocampidae. The record is from RNAcentral.
AAAAUAAAAAUUAAUAAUGGGGGUUAUUAAUAAAAAAAAUUUUAUUGUGUUAAGUUUUAAGUAGGGUUAUUUGAAAAAAUUUAAUAUUUUAUAGUUAAUUAGUAUUGUGAAAGAAUUUUGAAAAUAUAUGAAAAUAAAUUUAUUAAAAAGUAAUUUUAAUUUAAUGUAUCUUGUGUAUCAGAGUUUAUUAAUAAAAUAAUUAUUUUUAAUUUUUUUCGAAUUUAAAAGAGAUAAUUAUUUAUUAAAGUUAUUGUUGCAUAAAUAUUUUAAAUAAUUAAUUUGAAAUGAGAUGUUAAUCGUUUUUAAAUAUAUCUAAUUUUUUUAGAAAAAAAUUUAAUUUUAAAUUAAUUUAAUAAUUGAUUUAUUUUUUUUUAUAAUUUUAUUAUUAAAUUAAUUUUAUAUUUUAAGGGAUAAGCUUUAAAUUAAAUUUUUAUAAUUUUUUUAUACUUUUAAUUAAAAUUUUUAUUAUUUAUAUUGUAAGUAAAUUUUAUUUUAUUAUAAAUAAUUUUAUAUUUAUUUAAAAUUUAAUUUAAAUUUAAUUUUUUAUAAAAAAAAAUUUUUUUAAUUUAAUAAAAUAUGAUAUAAUGAUAAAAUUAGUAUAUAAAUUUAAUUUAAUAAAAUAUUAUUUAUAUUUAUUAAUUUUAAGGAAUUCGGCAAAAUUUUAUGUCCACUUGUUUAUCAAAAACAUGUCUUUUUGAUUUUAAUUUAAAGUUUAAUCUGCCCACUGAUGAAAAUUAAAGGGCUGCAGUAUUUUGACUGUACAAAGGUAGCAUAAUCAUUAGUCUUUUAAAUGGUGACUUGUAUGAAUGAUUGGAUGAGAUAUAAGCUGUCUUAAAUUUAUUUGAUAGAAUUUAAUUUUUUAAUUAAAAAGUUAAAAUAAAUUAAAAAGACGAGAAGACCCUAUAGAGUUUUAUAAGUAUAAUUAAAUUAAGAAUAUUUAUAAAAUUAAAAUUAUUUAAAAUUUGUUUAUUUAUUUGAUUGGGGUGAUUAAAAAAUUUAAUUAACUUUUUUUAAUUUUUAACAUAGAUAAAUGAUUUAAUGGAUCCAAUUUUAUUGAUUGAAAGAAAAAAUUACCUUAGGGAUAACAGCGUAAUUUUUUUUUUUAGUUCAUAUAAGAAAAAGAGUUUGCGACCUCGAUGUUGGAUUAAGAUGAAAUUUAAAUGUAAAAGUUUGAGUGUUUUGAUCUGUUCGAUCAUUAAAAUCUUACAUGAUCUGAGUUCAAACCGGUGUAAGCCAGGUUGGUUUCUAUCUUUUAGUAAAAAUAAUAUUUUAGUACGAAAGGAUCGAGUAUUAAAAUUAAAUUUAAUAUUUAAAGAAUAUUAUUAAAAUUUAUUUAAAAUUAAUAAAAUUAUAAAAUUUGUUUAGUUUAAUAUAAUAAUGAAUGAUAAUGGGAUUUUUAUUGUUAAUAAUAAAAAUUUAUUUAAUUAAUUUUAAUUUAUAGUAUAUUUAAUUUAUUAGUAU